Molecule: ribosomal RNA, 253 nt
Filed under: uncultured bacterium
Lineage: Bacteria
Description: partial 16S ribosomal RNA
Rfam family: Bacterial small subunit ribosomal RNA
Source: RNAcentral
UACGUAGGGGGCAAGCGUUGUCCGGAAUUAUUGGGCGUAAAGAGCGCGUAGGCGGUCCGGUAAGUCGGCUGUGAAAGUCAAGGGCUCAACCCUUGAAAGCCGGCCGAUACUGUCGGACUAGAGUCCGGAAGAGGCGAGUGGAAUUCCCGGUGUAGCGGUGAAAUGCGCAGAUAUCAGGAGGAACACCUGCGGUGUAGACGGCUUACUGGACCACCACUGACGCUGAGGCACGAAAGCGUGGGUAGCAAACAGG